UGUCCCGGUAGCUCAAUUGGAUAGAGCAUCCCCCUCCUAAGGGGAAGGUUGGAGGUUCGACCCCUCUCCGGGACGCCAU
RNAcentral lists this transfer RNA (79 nucleotides) under Pseudomonas paraeruginosa PA7. RNAcentral describes it as "tRNA-Arg". It matches the Rfam family "tRNA". From Rfam's summary of the family: Transfer RNA (tRNA) molecules are approximately 80 nucleotides in length. Their secondary structure includes four short double-helical elements and three loops (D, anti-codon, and T loops). The record is from RNAcentral. Lineage: Bacteria; Pseudomonadati; Pseudomonadota; Gammaproteobacteria; Pseudomonadales; Pseudomonadaceae.